This 400-nucleotide ribosomal RNA is filed under the name uncultured bacterium. Its description in RNAcentral is "bacterial SSU rRNA". It matches the Rfam family "Bacterial small subunit ribosomal RNA", at positions 359 to 776 of the family's 1533-position model. The record is from RNAcentral.
GAAUGUUGGACAAUGGGCGAAAGCCUGAUCCAGCAAUGCCGCGUGAGUGAUGAAGGCCUUAGGGUUGUAAAGCUCUUUUACCCGAGAUGAUAAUGACAGUAUCGGGAGAAUAAGCUCCGGCUAACUCCGUGCCAGCAGCCGCGGUAAUACGAAGGGGGCUAGCGUUGUUCGGAUUUACUGGGCGUAAAGCGCGUGUAGGCGGACUUGUAAGUUGGGGGUGAAAUCCCGAGGCUCAACCUCGGAACUGCCUCCAAAACUACAAGUCUGGAGCAAGAUAGAGGCAAGUGGAAUUGCGAGUGUAGAGGUGAAAUUCGUAGAUAUUCGCAGGAACACCAGUGGCGAAGGCGACUUGCUGGAUCUUUGCUGACGCUGAGACGCGAAAGCGUGGGGAGCAAACAGG